CAGUCGAACGAAGCUCCUGCGACAGAUUCCUUCGGGAUGAAGAUGCUCGAGACUUAUUGGCGGACGGGUGAGUAACGCGUGGGUAACCUGCCCUGUACUGGGGGACAACAGUUAGAAAUGACUGCUAAUACCGCAUAAGCCUACGGAGUCGCAUGACUCAGUAGGAAAAAUUCCGGUGGUACAGGAUGGGCCCGCGUCUGAUUAGCUAGUUGGUGAGGUAAUGGCUCACCAAGGCAACGAUCGGUAGCCGGCUUGAGAGAGUGAACGGCCACAUUGGGACUGAGACACGGCCCAAACUCCUACGGGAGGCAGCAGUGGGGAAUAUUGCACAAUGGGGGAAACCCUGAUGCAGCAACGCCGCGUGAGUGAAGAAGUAUUUCGGUAUGUAAAGCUCUAUCAGCAGGGAAGAAAAUGACGGUACCUGACUAAGAAGCACCGGCUAAAUACGUGCCAGCAGCCGCGGUAAUACGUAUGGUGCAAGCGUUAUCCGGAUUUACUGGGUGUAAAGGGAGCGCAGGCGGUCUGGCAAGUCUGAUGUGAAAAUCCGGGGCUCAACUCCGGAACUGCAUUGGAAACUGUCAGACUAGAGUGUCGGAGAGGUAAGUGGAAUUCCUAGUGUAGCGGUGAAAUGCGUAGAUAUUAGGAGGAACACCAGUGGCGAAGGCGGCUUACUGGACGAUAACUGACGCUGAGGCUCGAAAGCAUGGGUAGCAAACAGGAUUAGAUACCCUGGUAGUCCAUGCCGUANACGAUGAUUACUAGGUGUUGGAGGANUGACCCCUUCAGUGCCGCAGUUAACACAAUAAGUAAUC
Molecule: ribosomal RNA, 812 nt
Filed under: uncultured bacterium
Lineage: Bacteria
Description: bacterial SSU rRNA
Rfam family: Bacterial small subunit ribosomal RNA
Source: RNAcentral